This 492-nucleotide ribosomal RNA is filed under the name uncultured bacterium. RNAcentral's name for it is "partial 16S ribosomal RNA". It matches the Rfam family "Bacterial small subunit ribosomal RNA", at positions 29 to 507 of the family's 1533-position model. The record is from RNAcentral.
AGUGAACGCUGGCGGUAGGCCUAACACAUGCAAGUCGAACGGCAGCACAGUAAGAGCUUGCUCUUACGGGUGGCGAGUGGCGGACGGGUGAGGAAUACAUCGGAAUCUACUUUUUCGUGGGGGAUAACGUAGGGAAACUUACGCUAAUACCGCAUACGACCUACGGGUGAAAGCAGGGGAUCUUCGGACCUUGCGCGAUUGAAUGAGCCGAUGUCGGAUUAGCUAGUUGGCGGGGUAAAGGCCCACCAAGGCGACGAUCCGUAGCUGGUCUGAGAGGAUGAUCGGCCACAUUGGAACUGAGACACGGUCCAGACUCCUACGGGAGGCAGCAGUAGGGAAUAUUGGACAAUGGGCGAAAGCCUGAUCCAGCCAUACCGCGUGAGUGAAGAAGGCCUUCGGAUUGUAAAGCCCUUUUGUUGGGAAAGAAAAGCAGCAGAUUAAUACCCCGCUGUUCUGACGGUACCCAAAGAAUAAGCACCGGCUAACUUCGUG